CAUUGUUGCCAUGUCAAGUUCUUGCAGGAAGUUUUCUUGAAUAAUGGCAAGCUUUUUAUGGUUAUGGUGAUUUCAAUGAAGAAAGAACCUCUGGAGUGGUAGAGCCCAUGAAGUUGGUGGAGAACCAGGUUCCAUUUUCACGUAGUAAAUCAAAGAUCAUGUCACGUCAACAUUUGUCAUAAGCAUUUUCAAUCGACACUUGUUGACAGAUAAACAAAUCUUCUCCCAAAAAGUUGAAUCCCGGCCCCCAUACCUCGGCUUGACAGGCCGACAAAACAUUUAAGAGGAUGUAAAUUACGUGACUCAAUGAUUCAGCAGAGAGGGUCAAAUGUUGGUGCGUACAAGGAAUCUGCCCACUAUGUCUGAACAAGCACGUACUACGAUAGAGCCGUGUGUGAAAAGCAGAAAAGCAAACAAGAAAACCAAUUUGUUUGGCUGCAUAAAUUCUCCUUUGGCGUGGAACUCCAGCAAUGAUAUGCAUAUCAUCAGAACAAUAUGGAGUGUUAUUCUCACAUCUUCUUUCUAUAACUUUUUUUUUUUUUUUUUUCUGAGAGAAACUUGCAGUUACUACUUGAGGAUCUGUACUGUGGUAAAUUUUGCUUCUAUGUAAUAGCCUGCAAAUAAUAUAGAAAAAGUAAAUCGCAUUAAGAAAAUCUUGUGUGAAGGGGUCGACUUGUGACCUUUAAAUACGAAAGUCAUGUUUCACCUUUCUCACACCUUUCAUUCCAAAUAACUUUUUAAUACAUAGGAAUGGAAUCGCAUUUUAGCUAUACAGUAAACCAAGUUGGGGUCUGUUUCUGUCAUACAUUUCAUUGAAGUACAAUUUUUUUUUUCUAAAUAUACAGUAUAAUGUUUCAAACAAGAAAGAUGCUGAGGAUACAAUGUACAGUAGUUGUUAAUCUAAAACUGUUUUUACUGGGUUAUGGGGAUGGAAUUUAAUACAUGAUAUCAUCCAAAUUCAUGUUUGUGUUGCAGAGAGUGUAAAGAACUAGAGGCUCAGCUUCUGGUUGAUGUUAAAAUCUUCAGAAGAUGAUAAUGCAGGCUCCUGCACGUUGCAAUACACGAUGAAUGAACAAUCGGAAAACUGGAGAAAUGAAGUAAAUGCGGGUUAGAGGAGGCUGGCUAGCCUAGUACCUGCUCCAUCUUGGGUUGGAAAACUUUCAGCACGCGGUUUCUGGUCAUUGCCCCUGUCGUGUCUUUUCCAGAAGAAAAAGCCUGCUCAGAUUUGAUUAAAAAAAAUUGAGAAACAGUA
Long non-coding RNA from Ipomoea nil (Japanese morning glory), 1252 nucleotides. RefSeq lists it as uncharacterized. Lineage: Eukaryota; Viridiplantae; Streptophyta; Magnoliopsida; Solanales; Convolvulaceae. The transcript is spliced from 3 exons. The record is from RefSeq and is a predicted model, not a curated record.